AAAUGACCAAAAAAAAUCACACCCAGACGAUGACAGCUAUAUUGUGCGUGUCAAGGCUGUGGUUAUGACCAGAGAUGACUCCAGCGGGGGAAGGUUCCCACAGGAAGGAGGCGGGAUCAGUCGCGUCAGCGUGUGUAAGGUCAUGCGCCCUGAAGGCAAUGGACGAAGCGGCUUUCUCAUCUAUGGCGAACUACAGAAAGACAAACUGGUCGUAUUGGAAUGCUAUGUCUGAAAGGACUUGGUCUACACCAAAGCCAAUCCGACAUUUCAUCAUUGGAAGGUUGAUAACAGGAAGUUUGGACUUACUUUCUAAAGUCCUGCAGAUGCAUGAGCUCAGAGAUGAUGACGUUUUCACGACAGCUACGGACAGUUCGUCUAAUUCCUCGCAGAAGAGGGAGCCGACUACGAGGACAAUCUCCUCCCCCGCGUCUUGUGAGAACCAGAGGAUUUAUACCCUUGACCCAUACCCCAUGGACCAUUACCACCCUGACCAGCGGUUGCCUUGGUCCUACCCCCAGGUCAUCUUCCCAGAAGAUGAUGAAGAAAUUGUACGCAUCAACCCCCGAGAGAAGAUCUGGAUGACCGGUUAUACCGGCACGGCCGGUUCGCGGCAAAUACUUAGACACCACAGAAGACACAGACUCCUACGUGCGCUUCGCCAAGGGUGAAGUCCCCAAACACAAAUAUACCUAUGCCUAUGUUGAUUCUUCGGACUUCGGCUUCGGGGAGGAUCCCAAAGGUAGUGUGAUCAAGACACAGCUGCCCAGGGCCAAGUCCCGUCGGCGGAAGGAGAACUGCGAACGGUCGCGGUGUGUGUACUUAAUCACGAGAGAACCGAAGGGGCCACUGCCAAGACACGCCCGAUGCCGUGAGAACUUGCA
Molecule: long non-coding RNA, 881 nt
Filed under: Mus musculus (house mouse)
Lineage: Eukaryota; Metazoa; Chordata; Mammalia; Rodentia; Muridae
Description: long non-coding RNA chrX:50373143-50374024
Source: RNAcentral